Molecule: unclassified non-coding RNA, 232 nt
Filed under: Hevea brasiliensis (rubber tree)
Lineage: Eukaryota; Viridiplantae; Streptophyta; Magnoliopsida; Malpighiales; Euphorbiaceae
Source: RNAcentral
AGAUCACAGUGAAAUACUUUUAGGUCAUUCAAAACUUAAAAACAAGUUCUGAAAACUUAGGAUAAAAAUUUGAGAGAUUAAAAAUUAACUUCAUUAGCUCUACUCCUCAAUUCUUUUCGCAAAUGUUCUUAAGAAUCUUAAACUAUACUCUAUACUAUGUACCUUCACUUUGAUCUUCAAUAUAGCUUGGAAGGUAGCUUUAUCUUUCUUGUCUUUGAUUCAUCUUGAGUUG